Molecule: non-coding RNA, 511 nt
Organism: Microcebus murinus (gray mouse lemur)
Lineage: Eukaryota; Metazoa; Chordata; Mammalia; Primates; Cheirogaleidae
Source: RefSeq, a predicted model, not a curated record
GCAGGGCAGGGCGCGAACCUGGGCCCCGGCCCCCUCCGUCGCCUCCCGCCCAUCGCCCCCGGCCGCGCCGCAAUCCACAUUCCCGAAAGUCUGCCGGGGAGGGGCGCUCGGAGGCCGCGUGCGGGCGGGCCUCACGUGAGCCUUGUGCCCUGUCCCGCCAGUCCUCAUCAAAGGCGUUUAUUUGCCACCCCUGCCAUGUGCUAGACCCUGUGCCAGGGACCCAACAGUGCUCCAGACCUGUCCACUGGAAGGGACAAGUGAUCGUUCCUUCCCCUGCCCCUGGGGCUCAUGUAAGGCCGCCGGGUGAUGCUGCUUUGUGCUGUGGCCCUGGCUUGCACGUCUGCUCCCCCACUGGGUUACAAAGUCUUAGAGAGGAGCACACUUCCUUCCGUCAUUCGGUCAUCUGGCCUCUUGAGUUUCUCAAGUUCAUUUCGGAACCAUGGUUACACAGGACUGAAAGACAACCCCUCCGCCUAAAAGGGGCAUCUUUCACACCCCGGAUUCACACAGC